Molecule: long non-coding RNA, 405 nt
Organism: Magnolia sinica
Lineage: Eukaryota; Viridiplantae; Streptophyta; Magnoliopsida; Magnoliales; Magnoliaceae
Exons: 3
Source: RefSeq, a predicted model, not a curated record
AGCAUUCUUUUGCUGUGAUAUAGAUGAGAGUUCCCUUUGAUUGCACUGUGACAUGACCGUACAUGUUGGAGGUAAAAGAACCCAUGGAAGAUAUCUGCUGUUGAGGCAGAGGGUUGAGUUCCCAGGGGACAAACCCAUUCCUUUGGGAGUGCAGGCCUUGCAACCUACAGAACCAAUUGAAUUUAGUAGGUAACAGACUCAACUGCCUAAAUUGACAACGAAUGAGAAACUGCAAAACCACAGGUCUCUCCUGUUCCAGUGCUAGACGCUAACACAGAAGAUCCGGGCAAGAUCACCUCUGCAAUGAUUGAUCUCAACUCGAGGCCAAACCAGAUUCAUGGGCAGCCAAUAAAUACACAGGUGCAGGGGAUGAAUGCUUUAAGCAAUAGCAAUCACGAGUGUGCA